RNAcentral lists this unclassified non-coding RNA (874 nucleotides) under uncultured Synechococcus sp. Its description in RNAcentral is "partial may contain 16S ribosomal RNA, 16S-23S ribosomal RNA intergenic spacer, and 23S ribosomal RNA". The stretch from base 347 to 419 matches the Rfam family "tRNA". The record is from RNAcentral. Lineage: Bacteria; Bacillati; Cyanobacteriota; Cyanophyceae; Synechococcales; Synechococcaceae.
GUCGAAGGUGGGGCUGAUGACUGGGGUGAAGUCGUAACAAGGUAUCCGUACCGGAAGGUGCGGAUGGAUCACCUCCUAACAGGGAGACAACACAAUGAUUUUGAUGCCUGAGUAUUUUUAUUCUUAGGCCGAAAUCCUGUCACCUUAGGUCGAUCGGUACCUCAGCUUUGAAGUUAAGAAUCAGCAGCAAUGUUGAUUGCUUGAUGGAGAUUUUCAGUUCCUAAACUUUGUCUAGGUCACACCCCAAAAGGGAUGAGACUCCUGGGCCAUUAGCUCAGGUGGUUAGAGCGCACCCCUGAUAAGGGUGAGGUCCCUGGUUCAAGUCCAGGAUGGCCCAUUCGGUGUUGGGGGUUUAGCUCAGUUGGUAGAGCGCCUGCUUUGCAAGCAGGAUGUCAGGAGUUCGAGUCUCCUAACCUCCACUGACCGAACUUUAUCCCCCCUCCAUUCAAUGGAGUUGAGCUCGAUUGGUGUGUGAUUUAGAUGUGUCCGCUGGAUGACCCCAGCUUCCUGUCAUUCCAAGUUUUAAGUUCAAAGCUUUGAAUUUGGUUGAUAAGAUGCUGGGCUCGGAUCAAAUGAUCAAGUAAUUGAUGAUUUGAUUUGAAGUUCUAGCAGAACCUUGACAACUGCAUAGGUGAAGUCUGGAAAAACAAAGCAUCUUACAGAUGCAUUGUUUUGAGUCUAAUUUUCUGAAAGGAAGAUUAGACCCAGAACAAUGAAAAUUCUUUUGAGCAAGAGCCGAGACUCUUGAAUGUUCUUUGAUUCGUGUCGAGCGAAUCAGAGUUUGAUCUUGUUUUUAGCAAUAAAAACUUGAGAAUCUGCUUUCAACGGCGGUAAGCGUUCAAGAGGUUAAUUGGUCAAGCUACAAAGGGCUCAC